Molecule: ribosomal RNA, 609 nt
Filed under: uncultured archaeon
Lineage: Archaea
Description: bacterial SSU rRNA
Rfam family: Archaeal small subunit ribosomal RNA
Source: RNAcentral
UGCCGGACUGACUGCUAUCUGAUUGGUACUAAGCCAUGCGAGUCGUUGUACAAUACAAGGCGGACUGCUCAGUAACACAUAGUUAACUUAACCUAUGGAUGGGAAUAACCUCGGGAAACUGAGAAUAAUACCCAAUGGGCCACAGUGCCUGGAAUGGCCUGUGGUUGAAAUGAUUUACCGCCGUAGGAUAGGACUGCGGCCUAUCAGCUUGUUGGUGAGGUAAUGGCCCACCAAGGCUAUAACAGGUACGGGCUCUGAGAGGAGGGGCCCGAAGAUGGGUACUGAGACACGGACUCAGGCCCUAUGGGGCGCAGCAGGCGAGAAACCUUUGCAAUGUGCGAAAGCACGACAAGGUUAAUCCGAGUGUCUCCUGCUAAAGGAGUCUUUUGUCAGUUGUAGAAUCACUGGUGAAUAAGGGAUGGGCAAGUUCUGGUGUCAGCCGCCGCGGUAAAACCAGCACCUCGAGUGGUCAGGAGGUUUAUUGGGCCUAAAGCAUCCGUAGCCGGUUGCAUAAGUUUUCGGUUAAAUCUAUGCGCUUAACGUAUAGGCCGCCGAAAAUACUGUGCAGCUAGGGAGUGGGAGAGGUACACGGUACUCGAUAGGAAGGGG